CCCCAACCUGGACCCCAUCCAAUAGGCUCGUGGUCCCUGAUGGUCCUGGACCACUGAUUUGAGGCCUUUCUGCUUCCUUUGAUUCAGUCUUUGGCAGAGACCCAGGAGCAGGAGUCCUUGAUGGCACCUGGCCCUUUCUAGUCACCGACAAGGGAAACCUGAGAAACCAUUCUCAGAAAUGGAACUAAAUUGACACAGCAUUUGUCUCCUCCAGAGGAUACAGCACCAAGGCGCCAUCUUGGAAGUAGACUGGAGCUCUUAGCAGACCAGAACCUGUGGGCCUCCUAAGACGAUGUUGCUGGAUGUCCCCUGCUGACCCCACAG
RNAcentral lists this long non-coding RNA (324 nucleotides) under Homo sapiens (human). RNAcentral describes it as "non-protein coding lnc-BUB3-4:18". Lineage: Eukaryota; Metazoa; Chordata; Mammalia; Primates; Hominidae. The record is from RNAcentral.